GACUAUACAUGCAAGUCGAGCGAACAGAUGAAGUGCUUGCACUUCUGACGUUAGCGGCGAACGGGUGAGUAACACGUAAGGAAUCUACCUAUAAGCGGGGGAUAACAUUCGGAAACGGGUGCUAAUACCGCAUAAUAUCUUCUUCCGCAUGGAAGAAGAUUGAAAGACGGCUCUGCUGUCACUUAUAGAUGACCUUGCGGUGCAUUAGUUAGUUGGUGGGGUAACGGCCUACCAAGACGAUGAUGCAUAGCCGACCUGAGAGGGUGAUCGGCCACAUUGGGACUGAGACACGGCCCAAACUCCUACGGGAGGCAGCAGUAGGGAAUCUUCCGCAAUGGGCGAAAGCCUGACGGAGCAAUGCCGCGUGAGUGAAGAAGGCCUUCGGGUCGUAAAACUCUGUUAUAAGAGAAGAACAAAUUGUAGAGUAACUGCUACAGUCUUGACGGUAUCUUAUCAGAAAGCCACGGCUAACUACGUGCCAGCAGCCGCGGUAAUACGUAGGUGGCAAGCGUUGUCCGGAUUUAUUGGGCGUAAAGGGAGCGCAGGUGGUUUCUUAAGUCUGAUGUGAAAGCCCACGGCUUAACCGUGGAGGGUCAUUGGAAACUGGGAAACUUGAGUACAGAAGAGGAAUGUGGAACUCCAUGUGUAGCGGUGGAAUGCGUAGAUAUAUGGAAGAACACCAGUGGCGAAGGCGACAUUCUGGUCUGUUACUGACACUGAGGCUCGAAAGCGUGGGGAGCAAACAGGAUUAGAUACCCUGGUAGUCCACGCCGUAAACGAUGAGUGCUAGGUGUUGGAGGGUUUCCGCCCUUCAGUGCCGCAGUUAACGCAUUAAGCACUCCGCCUGGGGAGUACGACCGCAAGGUUGAAACUCAAAGGAAUUGACGGGGACCCGCACAAGCGGUGGAGCAUGUGGUUUAAUUCGAAGCAACGCGAAGAACCUUACCAAGUCUUGACAUCCUUUGACCACCCUAGAGAUAGGGCUUUCCCUUCGGGGACAAAGUGACAGGUGGUGCAUGGUUGUCGUCAGCUC
Molecule: ribosomal RNA, 1033 nt
Filed under: Aerococcus urinaeequi
Lineage: Bacteria; Bacillati; Bacillota; Bacilli; Lactobacillales; Aerococcaceae
Description: bacterial SSU rRNA
Rfam family: Bacterial small subunit ribosomal RNA
Source: RNAcentral